Gambusia affinis (western mosquitofish) is the source of this 2751-nucleotide RNA transcript. RefSeq lists it as uncharacterized. The transcript is spliced from 6 exons. NCBI's taxonomy places the organism in Eukaryota, Metazoa, Chordata, Actinopteri, Cyprinodontiformes, Poeciliidae. The record is from RefSeq and is a predicted model, not a curated record.
CCUAUUCCUGUGCUGUGCUACUCUUACAAAAGUAAGAGUAGCACUUACUUUAGUUGUGCUGUGCUACUCUUACUUUGGUAAGAGUAGCACAGCACAGGAAUAGGAAUAGGAAAUUAAAGUAAGUGCAACUCUUACUUUGGUAAGAGUAGCACUACGGUGCUGAUCUCCGCAAUCUGAAGCCUUCACUUCGUAUUGAUGAUUAAAAUUAUUAUUUUUCAGUAUAGUAGUUAUUUAUAAAAAAUAAAAUAAAAAAAAGAGAGAGAGAGAGAGAGAGAAAACUUUUAUACAGUACUUUUAUUUGUUAAAAAAAUGCUUGGGCCUGUUAAAAAGGUUUUGUUCUUUGUUUUAAAUGUAUUAUGGAGUAUUUCAUUGUAUAAUAAUUGUUAAAAUAAAAUAAAAUAAAGGUUCCUACUUCGCGGAUUUUAUCACGGGUUCUUUUUGGAACGUAACCCCCGCGAAAAACGAGGGAUCACUGUAUACUAAAACAGAAAUCCUCCUUCAGGUGCAGUGGAGCAAAAAUAUUUCUCAGCCAAAAUGCGUUUUUGCACCCAGUCGCCUGCAGCAACCUUUACCGUGAAAAUCAUAAAAAGAAUAUUUUUGCUGCUUGCUUUUGGAGACGCAACGAGUCUUCCAGUCACCACAGGUGCCAAGGAUUCACCGGAGCUCUUUUACUGCACUUCUGUAGGAUGUGCUGCCGAUGUGAUAAAAGUGUUUUGUAAUGACACACUCCUUCAGCAUGACCUCCUUCCAGAUUGCUCAGGAUCUCCGCUUCUCCAUAAAGUGUGCCAGCAUGAUGGCCGUGCAUAUGUUUCCACCCCAGUAGGGACCAAGUGUGAAUUUGAGAAGGAGAGUGACUACAUUCCUACAAAGAAAUGUACAGACGUUGACCCCAUGUGCCUUUGGAUUCAUGCGACAUCCUCAUCACCAACCCCUUCAAACAAUGGGAAGAAAGCAGUGAGAGUUCAUCUAGGAUACAUUGUCCUAGGAUGCAUCCGUGAGUUAAAAUCAUCAUGUAGCACUGAAAGGUUAUCCACUAUAUUUAGAAGAGAAUAUCACUGUCUAUUGUAAGCACUUUGACAGUUCUUACAUGGUCAAUGUAAGCACUUUUAAAAUGCUUACAGUUGGAAAAAUAGAAUAGAAUAACCAGAAGAUGGCAGUGUUGCUUUGCUAAUGACAUAAACAUGCUGGUUUUUUGAACCGGUACUCUGUACUUAAAAAUAUUUAUCUAAGUGACAUUCAGAAUGUUAUACCCUCUCAUAUAUGUUCUUGAUGUUUCAGAAUGAAUACAAAGUGAUACAAAAAGCAGUAAAACUUCCUAAGGUCUUAUUAACCCCUUCAUUAGGUGUUAUUCUAACUUGCAUGUUCUUUCUGUAGAUGAGUGACUUUUUUUUCUGGGUGCUCAGACUUUCUCCCACAGUCCAGUAAAACUCCUUGUUAUGUUAACUGGUUUGUCAGAUUUUUCCUUAAAAAUUAUUACGUGUGUGCGCGUGUUUGUGUGUGCAUGGCUGUUUGUUUUGUGACAAACUGGGGACCUGUGCAACCUACGCUUGCAGCCUGUCUCUCACUAGAUGACAUAGAUGAAAGUUAAAUUUGAAAAGUUUGGCUUUUUGUUACUGACCCGUCUUGUUUGCUGUGGUCUGUCCACUUGCUUCACUGGGAGCCAAAAUAUCAUUGUAAAGGCAGGUGUUAAGUUGGUCUUGCUGCACUUCUGGUUGGAGGUGGAAUAUGUUACUGUGUUAAAAGAUGCAUCCGAAGGCCAAACCAGCAGCACAAUAGGUACUGAACUAUAAGAUCGUUUUAAUGUUAUAGCCAGAUGUGACAUAUUGAUGCUAAUUCAAAUUCAUUUCAGAGACCGUGAAGAGAGUCAAUAAUUAGCAGUGAUCUAACCUUCUGGAUGCACAAUUGUGAGGUUAGUGAAAAAUGUUUAUUGUCACACCAAUUAAUUACAUUGAUGUGAAUUUUUAUUUUUUAAAGUUCACAUUUUAAAUCUUCAGGGAGGCUGAAGUUGCUUUUCAAGUGGAUGAUGACACCGUACCUCAACGUAGACGUGGGGAUUAGCUAAAUUCACUUUAGCUAGUACAUUCCAGGAUUAAAGGACUAAUGUCUCAGCCAGAUCUAGAGAAACUCAUCCAUGCGUUUAUCUUCAGUCGUAUUGAUUAUUGAAACAGCGUCUUCACAGGUCUGUCCAACAAAUCAAUCAAACAGCUGCAGCUGAUCCAGAAUGCUGCUGCUCGCGUUCUAACUAAAACCAGGAAGAUAGAUCACAUAACACCAGUUUUAAAGUCUCUCCACUGGCUCCCUGUAGCUCAAAGAAUAGAGUUUAAAAUACUGUUGCUAGUUUAUAAAUCACUGAAUGGUUUAGCACCACAAUACAUUAAAGAUCUGCUGCUGUUGUAUUGACCUUCCAGAACUCUCAGGUCUUCUGGUUCUGGUCUGUUCUGCAUCCACAGAACCAGAACCAAACGAGGAGGGGCGGCAUUUAGCAUCUAUGCACCAAAAACCUGGAACAAACUUCCAGAAAACUGUAAAACAGCUGAAACACUGACUUCCUUUAAAUCUCAACUAAAAACCCACUUGUUUAGAGUUGUAUUUGAAAAGUAAUCAAUUGCAAAUUUAUUGACGAAACUUGACUUGAUGUGUUUUUAUUGUUGGUUCUCUGUUGCAUUGUGUUUUUGUGUUUGAUUUGGUGUAAAGCACUUUGAAAUGCCUUGCUGUUGAAAUGCGCUAUACAAAUAAAGUUUGAUUGAUUGA